This 1000-nucleotide unclassified non-coding RNA is filed under the name Hevea brasiliensis (rubber tree). Lineage: Eukaryota; Viridiplantae; Streptophyta; Magnoliopsida; Malpighiales; Euphorbiaceae. The record is from RNAcentral.
AUCAACAUCCCUUCAGUCAAAGUGGUGUACGAGGAUCAUCGUACCUAUGCAUCCCAAGCAGCUAUUCAUGUCAAAGAAAGUCUGUGGCGGUCAUUAGAGGAAGACAUGAUUCCAACAUUGUCAAGUAAGAGUAAUUGGCUGGAAUUGCAAUCUAAAAUGUUGCCAAAAAAGUUAAGAGAAUCAAAUAUUUGUGUUGCUGGGGAGGCUAUUGGGAUAACCAUUGAAUUCAAAAAUCCACUUCAAAUACCUAUUUCAAUAUCUGGUGUUACCCUAAUUUGCGAACAUUCUCCAGCAGUAUCUGAACCGAAUGCAAAUAAUUCAAUUGGUGAGCAAAAUGGUGAGACAUCAAACAAAUCAGCCACUAGUGGGAAUUGUGCUUCUGAUACAUCUUCAUUUACAUUAUCGGAGGCUGAUGUUGCCUUAGGAGAAGGUGAAACAGUAUUGGUUCAGCUAACAGUUACUCCAAGAGCAGAAGGUACUCUCAAAAUAGUUGGUAUAAGGUGGAAGCUGUCAGGUUCACUGGGAGGAUUUUGUACUUUUGCUUCCGACUUAGUCAGAAAGAAAGUUAUGAAAGGAAACAGGAAAUCUAAACGAUCUACAUUCGAUAACCUGAAGUUCUUAGUCAUAAAGAGUUUACCAAAGCUUGAGGGCUUCAUUCAUCACCUCCCGGAAACAGUUUAUGUUGGUGAUUUGCGGUGUAUCGCUCUGGAGUUGAAAAAUCCAUGUAAAAUUCCAGUAAAAAAGUUGAAGAUGAAGGUCAGUCCGCCUAGGUUUCUCCAAAUUGGACACAAGGAAGAUCUGGAAGUUCAGUUUCCUGCUUGCUUGGAAAGAAAAAGUUCAAAACAAAGGUCUUUGAGGUCGAAGACUGAUAAAGUAUCAGAUGACAUUUUUUCAUUUCCCGAGGACACAUCAAUUGCAGAUGGAACUCCAAUCUCAUGGCCUCUCUGGCUUAGGGCUGCUGCUCCCGGGAAAAUAUCUUUAUAUUUAUCAGUAUACUAUG